Molecule: non-coding RNA, 84 nt
Organism: Potamilus streckersoni
Lineage: Eukaryota; Metazoa; Mollusca; Bivalvia; Unionida; Unionidae
Source: the annotation of a GenBank genome assembly
GUGUUGCGCUCCAGUGGCUUAGUGGUUAGAGCGUCCAACUCGGAUGCGGUAAGUCGCGGGUUCGAACCCCGGCCUAGUAAUACA